UCGUCUCUGAUGAUGAUUAAAAAUGAUUAACUUUCGUUCUUCUGAUGCGCUUUUCUCAUGGCGCGCUGCGGAAGCAAUCUGGAGACCUGAACUGAGGAGACAA
This 103-nucleotide small nucleolar RNA is filed under the name Oryza sativa (Asian cultivated rice). RNAcentral's name for it is "Z159c small nucleolar RNA". It matches the Rfam family "Small nucleolar RNA Z159/U59". Rfam says of the family: This family consists of several snoRNA Z159 or U59 sequences which are members of the C/D class of snoRNA which contain the C (UGAUGA) and D (CUGA) box motifs. This family seems to be found exclusively in rice. The record is from RNAcentral. Lineage: Eukaryota; Viridiplantae; Streptophyta; Magnoliopsida; Poales; Poaceae.